UCCCGUACUGGUGAUAAUUGCGAUGGGGGGACGGAGAAGGCUAGGCUAUCCGGGCGACGGUUGUCCCGGUUUAAGGAUGUAGGCAGGUGAAUUAGGCAAAUCCGGUUCACUAUAUGCUGAGGUCCGAUGACGAGUCACUACGGUGAUGAAGUAGCUCAUGCCCCGCUUCCAGGAAAAGCCUCUAAGCUCUAGAUUAUCAUUAAUCGUACCCCAAACCGACACAGGUGGUCAGGUAGAGAAUACUCAGGCGCUUGA
RNAcentral lists this ribosomal RNA (255 nucleotides) under Providencia rettgeri. RNAcentral describes it as "partial 23S ribosomal RNA". It matches the Rfam family "Bacterial large subunit ribosomal RNA", at positions 1437 to 1693 of the family's 2925-position model. RNAcentral also lists the same sequence under 1 other name. Lineage: Bacteria; Pseudomonadati; Pseudomonadota; Gammaproteobacteria; Enterobacterales; Morganellaceae. The record is from RNAcentral.